UUAUCUUAUGUAGCACUUGAAGAGAUCUCUAACAACAAAAAGCUAUCUUCCUAGAUUUCCUGGGCUUGGGAUCCUUGGUCUGUAAAGAUACAUUGUCAUAAACAGGGUGCUAUCUAAUUCAGAGGAAACAAGUCAGUUUGGAAAAGAGAUUCCCUGGCCUGUGCAGUCCUUGAUUAUGUGCUAGCUGGUGUCUCCCUUCUCCAGAGUGCUAUUCCUGCCCCACAUGGGUACUGCUGGCCGCCACACUGGCUGAAUUAACU
This is a long non-coding RNA of Mustela erminea (ermine), 260 nucleotides long. RefSeq lists it as uncharacterized. The record is from RefSeq and is a predicted model, not a curated record. The transcript has 3 exons. Lineage: Eukaryota; Metazoa; Chordata; Mammalia; Carnivora; Mustelidae.